Long non-coding RNA from Amyelois transitella, 372 nucleotides. RefSeq lists it as uncharacterized. Lineage: Eukaryota; Metazoa; Arthropoda; Insecta; Lepidoptera; Pyralidae. The transcript is spliced from 3 exons. The record is from RefSeq and is a predicted model, not a curated record.
CGGGACUGGCCGUACUGCGGACGCGUCGACGGGAGUUCUGUGCGAAAAGUUUCUGUGCUGUUGUGCUCUGUGUUUCUGUGCUGUGUUUGUGCUUGUUUCUAGGGACCUGAACCAGGUGUGAAAAGAUACAAAAAUGAAGACCCGUGAUGUUGUGUUGAUUACAAUACUGAGUUGUGGCGCUAUAGCUGUCCUUUUUGCUAUUGGUGCGUAUCUGUACAUACGGCGCAAGAGGAGAAAGAGACAGGACGAUGAAGAUGGCACCACUUGUACUAUAAGAGUGGACCAAUCAUCUACCGAUGGCGGACAGAAGACCAGCCGGCUCAAUGGUUUCCUGAGUCUGAAAACACCACUCAUCAGUACCAAGACUUUAGG